UAGGGAAUCUUCCACAAUGGACGCAAGUCUGAUGGAGCAACGCCGCGUGAGUGAAGAAGGGUUUCGGCUCGUAAAGCUCUGUUGUUAAAGAAGAACGUGGGUAAGAGUAACUGUUUACCCAGUGACGGUAUUUAACCAGAAAGCCACGGCUAACUACGUCNCG
RNAcentral lists this ribosomal RNA (163 nucleotides) under uncultured bacterium. RNAcentral describes it as "partial 16S rRNA". It matches the Rfam family "Bacterial small subunit ribosomal RNA", at positions 355 to 510 of the family's 1533-position model. The record is from RNAcentral.